GCACGCCGGACGACGUCCGCGAGAAGUCCACUGAACCUUAUCAUUUAGAGGAAGGAGAAGUCGUAACAAGGUUUCCGUAGGUGAACCUGCGGAAGGAUCAUUGUCGGUGCCCCCCGAAAUCGACGGAACGACCCGCGGACCGGUUUGAGAACGCCGCCGCCGUCGGGGCCGCGCGCCCGGACGGCACAAGAACCGACCCACCCCCGGCGCCAGUCGCGCCAAGGAAACGGAAAGAGAGCCCGCGCGCCCCCGUUCGGGAUCCCGUCCGGGGAGCGCCGGGCCGUGCCAGCGGCAUGCCACGCAUGCGCAAAACGACUCUCGGCAACGGAUAUCUCGGCUCUCGCAUCGAUGAAGAACGUAGCGAAAUGCGAUACUUGGUGUGAAUUGCAGAAUCCCGCGAACCAUCGAGUCUUUGAACGCAAGUUGCGCCCGAAGCCGUCCGGCCGAGGGCACGCCUGCCUGGGCGUCACGCAACGUCGCCCCCGCCCCACGGCGGGCGGGGCGCGGAGGAUGGCCUCCCGCGAGCGCGGGUCUCCCGGUUGGCCGAAACACGAGCGCGCGAGGGCAGUCGCCACGAUCCACGGUGGGAGGAGCGGAACCCGCUCGCGACCCGGCCGUGCGCGAGCUGCCGCCGAGCGACGCUGCAGGACCCAAGAGUCGUUGCUCCCGACGCGACCCCAGGUCAGGCGGGGACACCCGCUGAGUUUAAGCAUAUCAAUAAGCGGAGGAA
Molecule: ribosomal RNA, 730 nt
Filed under: Delonix boiviniana
Lineage: Eukaryota; Viridiplantae; Streptophyta; Magnoliopsida; Fabales; Fabaceae
Description: eukaryotic LSU rRNA
Rfam family: 5.8S ribosomal RNA (bases 314-469)
Source: RNAcentral